Molecule: ribosomal RNA, 253 nt
Filed under: uncultured bacterium
Lineage: Bacteria
Description: partial 16S ribosomal RNA
Rfam family: Bacterial small subunit ribosomal RNA
Source: RNAcentral
UACGGGGGGGGCAAGCGUUGUUCGGAAUUACUGGGCGUAAAGGGCUCGUAGGUGGCCAACUAAGUCAGACGUGAAAUCCCCAGGCUCAACUUGGGAACUGCGUCUGAUACUGGACGGCUUGAAUUCGGGAGAGGGAUGCAGAAUUCCAGGUGUAGCGGUGAAAUGCGUAGAUAUCUGGAGGAACACCGGUGGCGAAGGCGGCGUCCUGGACCAACACUGACACUGAGGAGCGAAAGCCAGGGGAGCAAACGGG